Callithrix jacchus (white-tufted-ear marmoset) is the source of this 1246-nucleotide non-coding RNA. Lineage: Eukaryota; Metazoa; Chordata; Mammalia; Primates; Cebidae. The record is from RefSeq and is a predicted model, not a curated record.
AUGAUCCUACGGUUCCUGGGAGGACGCGAAGAGUGCAGAACGCUGACUGCCAGCCCGGGAAAGUCCCCGACGUGCGGUCCUCAUCCCUGGACAGGCGGCGUCCACACUCCUCAGCAGCGCGGGGCGCCCGGGGCUCUGAUGCUCCAAACCCAGCAGCGGCUGCUGCAGCUUCUGGGAGGCGGAGAGUGUCUGCCGGGAGGAUGCCGCACCCGGGCGCUUAGUUCUGCAACUGGAAACCCCAUGGCCUCUUUAAAGCCCGAGCGCGAGCGCGUGGUGUCCUGGGGGCGGCGGGGCCGAGCAAGGCCGAGUCCCUGUGGUCCGGGCUGGGUGCGGCGGCCCUGGCGGCGGGCAUGGGCACCAGGCGUGGCGUGGAGCUGCUGGCCGGGCGCGCAGAGGCCGCAGGGCCCGGCGCUCGGUGGGGCAGCGAGGGCUGCUAGUCGGACAGUGGGCGCCACGCGCGGCUCAGACGGCGCAGGGAGGGCAGGCCCGGCAGGGGGGCGGCAGGUGAGCCGCCGUAGGGAGGUCCGCGGUGCCCGGGGGCUGGCGGGAGACGGGGCCCCAGGGGUGGACGGCGCACCAGGCGCAGAGAGCCAAGUCUGGAGCUUCGGGGCUGCGCCGCGGAGCGAGCUCUUCACUGCCCGGUUCCCGCUCAGUGGUCGUGUCUCCGCCCCCAUCCACCAGGUCCGCUGCGUUCUCAGCCGGGCCCUAGGCGCCAGGGCUCCCCGCGGGAGGAAGCAGAAGGCUGAGGCCACGGUGGUCGCCAUGACCGAGAAGCGAGAGAAGCUGGCUAAUGGUAGGGAGGGAGUGGAGGAGGCGAUUAUUGUUAUUGAGCAUUGCACUAGCUGAGGCCUGGAGGCCCCACAACUUCCAGUUAAGGUGAACCCAGCCAAGCCCCCUCAGGGGCAGCUUCGAGGUGACGCUGCUGCGCCCGGAGGGCAGAAGUGCGGGGCUCUGGACUGGGAUUAAGAAGGGGUCCCCGCGCAAACUCAAAUUCCCUGAGCCUCAAGAGGUGGUGGAAGAGUUGAAGAAGCACCUCCGUAGUGAGAUUUGGGCAGAAGUCCUCAUGCUGAGCUCUGUGUCCCUGGUGACGUUGGAACAUUAAUGAUGGAACAUGGCCAAACUUCACUCAUGCGCCUGAAGCCACGGUUUCUUCCCUGCCGGAAAUGAAGGUUCAGUUGUGAGACAACCCUCUAGUAAGGCAUUGCUAAAGUUACUGGAUUUGGUUUAAUAAAAGUUGAAAUAAAGU